CGACCCCAGGAGUGGCAGUUCACAGCCCUGACUGAUCACAGUGUUCCGUGGCCUGUGAUGAAGUAAGUGGGUCAGGGGCCAACACAUAGACAGCGUUGGCCUACAAAUGCAGCCCAGGCAGAGGACGGUGCAGCCAAGCCACACAGAGAGACAACUUCCUAGUGACACGCUGUGAAACGGGCGCUGCGCUCGAUUUCUCGCCGGGCUUUAGCUGCCUUCCCGCGGGGCAGGGCUCGGGACCUGCAGCCCGCCAUGCCUGAGCCUCCCCCACUCUCCGUGAGCUACUGGGCAGCCCAAGCCUCCCCCAAGAGCGCCGCCUCCUGCUCCAGGCGCCCAGUCCCAUCAACCACCCAAGGGCUGAGAAGUGCAGGCACAGGGCGCGGGACUGGCAGGCAGCUCCACCUGGGUGAAGCCAGCUGGGCUCCUGAGUGUGGUGGGGACGUGGAGAACCUUUAUGUCUAGCUCAGGGAUUGUAAACACACCAAUUGGCACUCUGUAUCUACCUCAAAGUUUGUAAACA
This 520-nucleotide long non-coding RNA is filed under the name Homo sapiens (human). RNAcentral's name for it is "non-protein coding lnc-RIPK1-11:5". Lineage: Eukaryota; Metazoa; Chordata; Mammalia; Primates; Hominidae. The record is from RNAcentral.